AAUCCUGAGUAAAGUGGCGUACGGGUGAGUAACACGUGGAUUAUCUACCUCUUUGUGGGGAAUAACUUUGGGAAACCGAAGCUAAUACCGCAUAAGCUCGUGAGAGGAAAGCAGCAAUGCGCAGAGAGAGGAGUCCGCGGUCGAUUAGCUAGUUGGCGGGGUAACGGCCCACCAAGGCUAUGAUCGAUAGCCGGCCUGAGAGGGCACACGGCCACACUGGCACUGAAACACGGGCCAGACUCCUACGGGAGGCAGCAGUGGGGAAUCUUGCACAAUGGGGGAAACCCUGAUGCAGCGACGCCGCGUGGGUGAUGAAGUCCUUCGGGAUGUAAAGCCCUUUCGACAGGAACGAUAAUGACGGUACCUGGAGAAGAAGCUGCGGCUAACUACGUGCCAGCAGCCGCGGUAAUACGUAGGCAGCAAGCGUUGUUCGGAGUUACUGGGCGUAAAGAGUAUGUAGGCGGUUGGGUAAGUUUGGUGUGAAAUCUCCCGGCUUAACUGGGAGGGUGCGCCGAAAACUGCCUGGCUCGAGUGCGGGAGAGGGGGGCGGAAUUCCUGGUGUAGCGGUGAAAUGCGUAGAUAUCAGGAGGAACACCUGCGGUGUAGACGGCUCCCUGGACCGUGACUGACGCUGAGAUACGAAAGCGUGGGUAGCAAACAGGAUUAGAUACCCUGGUAGUCCACGCCCUAAACGAUGCAUACUUGGUGUUGGCCAUUCACUUGGUCAGUGCCGGAGCUAACGCGUUAAGUAUGCCGCCUGGGGAGUACGGUCGCAAGGCUGAAACUCAAA
This 790-nucleotide ribosomal RNA is filed under the name uncultured bacterium. Its description in RNAcentral is "bacterial SSU rRNA". It matches the Rfam family "Bacterial small subunit ribosomal RNA", at positions 82 to 905 of the family's 1533-position model. The record is from RNAcentral.